GCCUUAGCUAAAUUAAAGUGUCUGGUUUGCAUUCAGGAGAUGUGUAUUAGUUUUACACAGGUUUUAU
This 67-nucleotide transfer RNA is filed under the name Urosaurus gadovi. RNAcentral's name for it is "partial tRNA-Ala". It matches the Rfam family "tRNA". From Rfam's summary of the family: Transfer RNA (tRNA) molecules are approximately 80 nucleotides in length. Their secondary structure includes four short double-helical elements and three loops (D, anti-codon, and T loops). Lineage: Eukaryota; Metazoa; Chordata; Lepidosauria; Squamata; Phrynosomatidae. The record is from RNAcentral.